UUUCAGUUUAAAAUGAGGGGAUUAUUCAAGCUUUGGCUGACUCUGGUUGUUUAUGAGAAUCCCAAAUCUCUUCUGUACAUCACCUCCACUUACAGAAAGGUAUGAGAGGAACAAGAAAACCAAGGUGUAUCUGGGAGGAAAUCAGCCAUUGCUUAUAAAACAUACAUCUGGAAAGAAGCUUCCCCUCUUUCCAAGUUCCAAGGAUUCUACAAGUCUAUGAGUCUAUGAUUAUGGUGCUGUUAUAUUAAUGCCACAGAGCAAAAGAAAACUGAAACCAAGA
This 280-nucleotide long non-coding RNA is filed under the name Zonotrichia albicollis (white-throated sparrow). RNAcentral describes it as "lncRNA (ENSZALG00000011474.1)". The record is from RNAcentral. Lineage: Eukaryota; Metazoa; Chordata; Aves; Passeriformes; Passerellidae.